GAAUUCACUAGUGAUUCAGGCCUAACACAUGCAAGUCGAACGGCAGCACGGGGGCAACCCUGGUGGCGAGUGGCGAACGGGUGAGUAAUACAUCGGAACGUGCCCAUGUCGUGGGGGAUAACGUAGCGAAAGCUACGCUAAUACCGCAUACGAUCUACGGAUGAAAGCGGGGGACCGUAAGGCCUCGCGCGAUUGGAGCGGCCGAUGGCAGAUUAGGUAGUUGGUGGGGUAAAGGCUCACCAAGCCUGCGAUCUGUAGCUGGUCUGAGAGGACGACCAGCCACACUGGGACUGAGACACGGCCCAGACUCCUACGGGAGGCAGCAGUGGGGAAUUUUGGACAAUGGGCGCAAGCCUGAUCCAUCAAAGCCGCGUGCAGGAUGAAGGCCUUCGGG
RNAcentral lists this ribosomal RNA (394 nucleotides) under uncultured bacterium. RNAcentral's name for it is "bacterial SSU rRNA". It matches the Rfam family "Bacterial small subunit ribosomal RNA", at positions 34 to 422 of the family's 1533-position model. The record is from RNAcentral.